AGUGAACGCUGGCGGCAGGCCUAACACAUGCAAGUCGAACGGCAGCACGGGGGGCAACCCUGGUGGCGAGUGGCGAACGGGUGAGUAAUACAUCGGAACGUGCCCAGUCGUGGGGGAUAACGUAGCGAAAGCUACGCUAAUACCGCAUACGAUCUACGGAUGAAAGCGGGGGAUCGCAAGACCUCGCGCGAUUGGAGCGGCCGAUGGCAGAUUAGGUAGUUGGUGGGGUAAAGGCUCACCAAGCCUUCGAUCUGUAGCUGGUCUGAGAGGACGACCAGCCACACUGGGACUGAGACACGGCCCAGACUCCUACGGGAGGCAGCAGUGGGGGAAUUUUGGACAAUGGGCGGAAAGACCUGAUCCAGCCACUUCCGCGUGCAGGAUGAAGGCCCUCCGGGUUGGUAAACUAGCUUUUACCUAGGGAGUGAUAAUGACAGUACCUCGGAGAAUAAGCUCCGGCUAACUCCGUGCCAGCAGCCGCGGUAA
This 486-nucleotide ribosomal RNA is filed under the name uncultured bacterium. RNAcentral's name for it is "bacterial SSU rRNA". It matches the Rfam family "Bacterial small subunit ribosomal RNA", at positions 29 to 523 of the family's 1533-position model. The record is from RNAcentral.